GAUGAAGAACGCAGCGAAAUGCGAUACGUAGUGUGAAUUGCAGAAUUCAGUGAAUCAUCGAAUCUUUGAACGCACAUUGCACCUCUCGGUAUUCCGGGAGGUAUGCCUGUUCGAGCGUCAUUUGUACCCUCAAGCUCUGCUUGGUGUUGGGUGUUUGUUCCGCCACUGUGUGUGAACUCGCCUCAAAACAAUUGGCAGCCGGCGUACUUGUUUCGGAGCGCAGCACAUUUUGCGAUCCAGAUCAACGUACAGCGGCAUCCAAGAAGCCUUAUUUAACGCUCUUGACCUCGGAUCAGGUAGGGAUACCCGCUGAACUUAAGCAUAUCAAUAAGCGGAGGA
Molecule: unclassified non-coding RNA, 339 nt
Filed under: soil metagenome
Description: partial contains 5.8S ribosomal RNA, internal transcribed spacer 2, and large subunit ribosomal RNA
Rfam family: 5.8S ribosomal RNA (bases 1-120)
Source: RNAcentral